This 305-nucleotide ribosomal RNA is filed under the name uncultured bacterium. Its description in RNAcentral is "bacterial SSU rRNA". It matches the Rfam family "Bacterial small subunit ribosomal RNA", at positions 339 to 641 of the family's 1533-position model. The record is from RNAcentral.
CUACGGGAGGCAGCAGUGAGGAAUAUUGGCCGAUGGGCGGGAGCCUGAACCAGCCAAGUCGCGUGAGGGAAGACGGUCCUAUGGAUUGUAAACCUCUUUAGGCGGGGAGCAAUGCCGGGCACGCGUGUCCGGAGGGAGAGUACCCGCAGAAUAAGCAUCGGCUAACUCCGUGCCAGCAGCCGCGGUAAUACGGAGGAUGCGAGCGUUAUCCGGAUUUAUUGGGUUUAAAGGGUGCGUAGGCGGAUUUUUAAGUCAGCGGUAAAAUGUCCGGGCUCAACCCGGGCCGGCCGUUGAAACUGGGGAUC